Molecule: long non-coding RNA, 391 nt
Organism: Helianthus annuus (common sunflower)
Lineage: Eukaryota; Viridiplantae; Streptophyta; Magnoliopsida; Asterales; Asteraceae
Exons: 3
Source: RefSeq, a predicted model, not a curated record
AAGGGUGAAAAACACCCAUGAAAACACAAUGAAAAUGCCGCCAAUUGUAGGAUGAAAACUAAUUAAAAUUCAUGCAUAUCUUUGAUUUCAUGAUCAUCUAAGCACAAUAAAGCAUAGGGCGUGAAGGAAGAAGGUACAAGUCAAUCCGGUUCGCAAGCAACACAAAACAAAGGUAAAGCCGUACUCUAAACGGCGCGCUACGCUCGGAACGAACACACUCCAUGAUGCCCUUUACGCGUUUCCGGUUUAUGUUUAGUGUCAAUGGGUCAAACUACUUUUGGAUUGUAAAUGUCGUUUUAAAUGUUUAUGUCUUUUGUAAGUAAGUUUAAGGUUUAUACUUUAAAUAUGUUAGAAUUGGUCAAAAUUUAUAUUAAGUUACGAAAGUUCAAAA